UACGGGGGGUGCGAGCGUUGUCCGGAAUCACUGGGCGUAAAGGGCGCGUAGGUGGUUUGAUAAGGGUGUGGUGAAAGUCCGGGGCUCAACCCCGGAUCUGCCGUGCCGACUGUCAAACUCGAGGACUGUAGAGGCAGACGGAAUUCCGGGUGUAGCGGUGGAAUGCGUAGAGAUCCGGAGGAAGACCGGUGGCGAAGGCGGUCUGCUGGGCAGUUUCUGACACUGAGGCGCGACAGCGUGGGAGCAAACAGGG
RNAcentral lists this ribosomal RNA (253 nucleotides) under uncultured bacterium. RNAcentral describes it as "partial 16S ribosomal RNA". It matches the Rfam family "Bacterial small subunit ribosomal RNA", at positions 524 to 777 of the family's 1533-position model. The record is from RNAcentral.